Molecule: ribosomal RNA, 454 nt
Filed under: uncultured bacterium
Lineage: Bacteria
Description: bacterial SSU rRNA
Rfam family: Bacterial small subunit ribosomal RNA
Source: RNAcentral
ACUCCUACGGGAGGCAGCAGUGGGGAAUAUUGCGCAAUGGGCGAAAGCCUGACGCAGCAACGCCGCGUGCGGGAUGACGGCCUUCGGGUUGUAAACCGCUUUCAGCUCCGACGAAGCUAACGUGACGGUAGGAGCAGAAGAAGCACCGGCCAACUACGUGCCAGCAGCCGCGGUAAUACGUAGGGUGCGAGCGUUGUCCGGAAUUAUUGGGCGUAAAGAGCUUGUAGGCGGUCUGUCGCGUCGGAAGUGAAAACUCAGGGCUUAACCCUGAGCCUGCUUCCGAUACGGGCAGACUAGAGGAAGGUAGGGGAGAACGGAACUCCUGGUGGAGCGGUGGAAUGCGCAGAUAUCAGGAAGAACACCGGUGGCGAAGGCGGUUCUCUGGACCUUUCCUGACGCUGAGAAGCGAAAGCGUGGGGAGCAAACAGGCUUAGAUACCCUGGUAGCGUCGUCU